UACGUAGGAGGCAAGCGUUGUCCGGAAUUAUUGGGCGUAAAGAGCUCGUAGGUGGUUCGGUAAGUCGGAUGUGAAAUCUCCAGGCUCAACCUGGAGGGGUCAUUCGAUACUGCCGUGACUAGAGUUCGGUAGGGGAGUGUGGAAUUCCUGGUGGAGCGGUGAAAUGCGCAGAUAUCAGGAGGAACACCAAUGGCGAAGGCAGCUCGCUGGAACGGUACUGACGCUGAGGCGCGAAAGCGUGGGGAGCGAACAGG
This 254-nucleotide ribosomal RNA is filed under the name uncultured bacterium. Its description in RNAcentral is "partial 16S ribosomal RNA". It matches the Rfam family "Bacterial small subunit ribosomal RNA", at positions 524 to 776 of the family's 1533-position model. The record is from RNAcentral.